AACGAACGCUGGCGGCGCGCCUAAUACAUGCAAGUCGAGCGAGAAGGUGUAGCAAUACACUUGUAAAGCGGCGAACGGGUGAGGAAUACAUGGGUAAUCUACCAUCGAGUGGGGAAUAACCAGCCGAAAGGUUGGCUAAUACCGCGUACGCUUCCGAGUCUUCGGGCUUGGAAGGAAAGCCGCACUGUGAGUGCGGCGCUCUUUGAUGAGCUCAUGUCCUAUCAGCUUGUUGGUAGGGUAACGGCCUACCAAGGCUUUGACGGGUAGCUGGGUCUGAGAGGACGAUCAGCCACACUGGCACUGCGACACGGGCCAGACUCCUACGGGAGGCAGCAGUAAGGAUAUUGCGCAAUGGGCGAAAGCCUGACGCAGCGACGCCGCGUGGGGGAUGAAGGUCUUCGGAUUGUAAACCCCUUUCGGGAGGGAGAUGGAGCGAGCAAUCGUUCGGACGGUACCUCCAGAAGCAGCCACGGCCAACUUCGUGCC
RNAcentral lists this ribosomal RNA (486 nucleotides) under uncultured bacterium. RNAcentral describes it as "bacterial SSU rRNA". It matches the Rfam family "Bacterial small subunit ribosomal RNA", at positions 29 to 509 of the family's 1533-position model. The record is from RNAcentral.